This is a non-coding RNA of Arachis ipaensis, 150 nucleotides long. The record is from RefSeq and is a predicted model, not a curated record. NCBI's taxonomy places the organism in Eukaryota, Viridiplantae, Streptophyta, Magnoliopsida, Fabales, Fabaceae.
AACUCGCAGAAAUCACUAAACUCAGCAGCUCUAUUGGCAGUUCUAACAUCUGUUCUGCUCUCUUAGCAGCUACCAUGAUGAUUCUGGGCAGCUCCAGUGAUGGUGAAAGGUCUCAGCUUCAGCCAAGCAGCAGCAGCAGCCUAACUUCUU